Molecule: long non-coding RNA, 1994 nt
Filed under: Eucalyptus grandis
Lineage: Eukaryota; Viridiplantae; Streptophyta; Magnoliopsida; Myrtales; Myrtaceae
Description: long non-coding RNA (EGRA_LNC006827)
Source: RNAcentral
AUUUACAAAAAUAUCGGCUUAACAAAAAGGGAACUGUCCUAUGACCCUCUAGUCAAAUAUUUUCGACGAUUCUUCGAUCUUCACCUUCCUCGACUCCAAGGCUUCCGGUCCUCCAUGAUUGCCAUCUAGGACCUGAAAAUGUUAUUCCACAACAGGGUGAGACGACGUCUCAACAAGUUCAACCCCCUAAGCCUCAACCAAGAAGAAAUACGCCCCAAGGGCUGCCUAAACACAAACAUAGGUCGGAGGUCUUACCUUUACCUCAGUGCCUUUCUGCAAGUCAGUAUAGUUUAGAUAUUCACAAUUCGCAAUCAAUCAAAUCAUCAAACCGAUCAAAUCGUCGAUCAAUCGACUCAAUCAAUUGCAUGUCAUCAUGACCUGUGGGUUGUGGGCCCACUCAAUACAAACUAGGAAGUCCGAUCAUGCCAGGAGUACUCACUUUAAACCACAAUCAAUCAUUUGACCCAAAUAAUAAUUAGGGCCACUCACGGCACAUUCUAUUCCAUACUUGGUAGUCUCCUAGUGUAGCUAGGUUAAAUCACGGCUCAAUGGGCGCGGCCUAUGCUAAGCGGUAAUCACGACCUAAUGGGCACAACCUAUUCCAAGUUCGGCGGUAAAUCACGAUUCGACGAGCACAACUUGGGUUAGGUGAUAAUCACGACCCACAAGCACAACCUCUAUGAGGUGGUUAAUCACGGCUCAAUGAGCACAACCUCUAUGAGGUGGUUAAUCACAGCUUAAUGAGCACAACCUCUUUGAGGUGGUUUCCUUGAUCUAACUCAUAACAUCACUCGGUUACUCACCCACGGCCAACAACAUUAUACUUCACAAUUACAUUCCUCAAAUGACAUAAUACCUUGGCCUAUUUUCCUCGGUUUAGAGAUACUCGAUAAAAUAAUCGUGUGUCGGUACACAGUCGGCCAUAACCAAAAUAUAAUAUUUUCUCACUUUUGAACAUCCCACUAGUUUUAACAAUCUCAAAAUAGAUUUUUAGCGUUGUAGAUCGACGUCAGGUAACUUUCCAAUUAAUUACCAAAAUUAUCAAUUUUUGAGAUAAUUACCCACAAUCACCAAUCACACUCAAUUUGCACAAAAUAAUAGCCAAAUAAAUAAACAGAUCAUACCACUGUGAUCAGCACGAAAUUCUAACAAACGGCUCUCUCGGUAUAAAUUCCGGAAAAUAAUUAAAUAAUUAAAUAAUUAAUAAAAAUAAUAAAUAAAUGCCAAUAUAUAGAACUUAGGCCCGUAAAGCCUAAUUGAAAGCCAAGACGGAUCCGGGAAAUUUCCGAACAUACUCUAGUUAAAUACUAGAGCUUGUCUAGGCUCUAAUUACACUACUAUAAUCACCUAACAUGUAAUAACAAGUAAUUAAAUUGCUAAUCUAAUCUAACUAUUCACACACUCACUCCCACGUCUCAAAUAAACAAACCUUAAGCGUCAUUAACAUACUCACAAAAUAUUAGUGACUUAAACUCACUUGUUAAACGAUCCGCUUGGAUCAAAACGACGGGGAAGUGGAGGAGCUCAACAAACUCCAAAGCAGCGACGGCUUUCGAGAACCGGAAACGGUCCAAAGUGGGCCUAGAAGGAUCAAGGUCUCUGCUGGUUUCGGUGUGGCUCUGUUGAGCUUGCUAGUCCGGCUGUUGGUGGCGUGGCCAAGGAGUCUCGGUGAGGUGAUGGGCUGUUGCGGAGUCGGCCUUGAGUGGUGGACGUACGGGUUGAGCCGAGGCUGCUCACGAAUGAGGUUUGGAGGGGCAUGCGUUGUUGGGCUCGGUGCUGCGGAGACGGUGUUGAAUCGGUGGAAGAGGACAGCUAGAAGUCAACACCAAAGGUUGUUGCGGCUGACUUCUGUUGAAUUGGGCUGCAUGAGGGAAGGGAGUUGCUUCGACUGGGCUGUUGUUGGGGACGUCUCGGCUGCUGGGUGUGGACUGGAGAAGGAAACGGAAUUGAAGAAGUCCAAGUGGUGAAGGAAGAAGGCAGCUAGCCGAAGGAGA